Long non-coding RNA from Passer domesticus (house sparrow), 1373 nucleotides. RefSeq lists it as uncharacterized. The transcript has 4 exons. NCBI's taxonomy places the organism in Eukaryota, Metazoa, Chordata, Aves, Passeriformes, Passeridae. The record is from RefSeq and is a predicted model, not a curated record.
AAAUGGCAUCUGUCCAAGCCAUGGGCUGGCAUUUUCUCCAGGAAAAUUCUGUGGAAACAUUUUUGGAAGCUUGACAAAUGUCCAGGCAGACAAUAGUCACAGCCUUUUCCUCAUAAACUCAGUUGGUCAGCCUGUCUCAGAGGGAGAUCAUGUUAGCCGAGCAGGACUUGCCUUUCAUAGACUCAUCUGGCUGGGCGUGAUACCCUGGGUGUGCUGCAUGUGUCAUGUGAUGGCACUCAAGACCUCUCCACAGCCUUGCUGCAGUACCAGGGUGGGGCUGACAGGCUUCCAGUUCUGCUGAUUCUACUUCCUGCCCUUCUUGUUGAUGGGAGUCAUGUUUGCCAGCCUCUGGUCAACUGGAGCUCCCCAGUCAGCCAGGUCUGCUGAUAAAUGAUGGGAAGUGGCACAUUGGGAGCUUCCACCAACUCCCUCAGUACCCAUAAGAGGAUCCCGUCUGGCACCAUAGAUGUCUGUGUGACUAGGUGGUGUAGGAGAUCAAUGACUAUGUAGUCUUGGAUUAUGGGACUUUAUUUGCUCACUGUACCUGUCUUCCAGCUUACAGGGCCUAGUACUCAAAACCCAGUUGGUCUUACUAUUGAAAAAUGAGAGAAAGAAGACAUUUUCUCUGUGUUUUCUUCAUCCUUUUCCACUCUUUCCCCCCAUUUCCAGUAAAUAGGGAUCCUAUUUCUUCAAAAUUCCUUUUAAAGCAACAAUGGGGAAGGACUGGAUUUUGUUCUUUUAUACUCUCCCUCUUACCAAUGCAAAGAAUGAAUAUUAUUAAGCUUGUAUUUGUAGUGACAGGAAUAAAACCCAUUCAGUAUUAAACUAUCUAUUUAAAUAAUCAGAAAAAUGUCAGGACCAAUUUUCAUAUUCACUUAUAGCUCAUAUAUAGUUUUAAAAAUUAAGUCAGUCCCUUCCUCUGUGUGGGAAACUACUUUCUUCUUCAUGCCUACCUUUCUGGUGUUUUCUGUUGGAACUCCUAGAGGAGCUGUGUUACUUGGUAAUGAGCAUUUCAUACAGGGAACUGUCAACCCAAGUCAUUGAAGAAAAAGAGAAAACUUCUACUUUCCAGCUUUGCAACACUUCUGGAGAGAUUUAUUGAAGCAGCACUACUCAAAGUGAAUUCAAGAAUCUCUCUGUCAGGAUAUAAGAAGUAGGAUCUUACUCAACUACAGAUAAAAUAAGCCAUGCAUUGAAUAUAUCAGGGAUUUUUUUAAAUGAAGAUAAAACUGGCAAUUGAAACACGGUCAUGAGAAUCCAAAAAUGGUAAGUGCAAUGCAAUCUGCCUUAUCAACAGAGGAGAAAGCACACGGAGACAAGCACAGGUGACUGAACCAAAACAAACUAACAACACAGAGGAGAAAGUCUACCAG